Molecule: long non-coding RNA, 3463 nt
Organism: Oryzias melastigma (Indian medaka)
Lineage: Eukaryota; Metazoa; Chordata; Actinopteri; Beloniformes; Adrianichthyidae
Exons: 5
Source: RefSeq, a predicted model, not a curated record
CUAGGGGGACAUGAAUAUAUUUUACCUUUUUUUUCUUUUUCCGAGGAAAGACUUUUCGCGCGUGCGCACAUUGAAGCUCCACAAAAGUAGCUUAUUUUUUAAUGGUCAUAAUUUUUAUUAUUUUACAGUUUUAUUGUGAUAAAGAAAAUAUACUACCAAAACCAGAAGACUAUUUAUCUGAGAAAAAAAAAAAAGCAACUGAAGCAAAUCCGGAAGUACGUCACGGAGAAACAGCUUCCCUCUAUUUAACCCUUUAGUGAUAUCGAAUAGCAGGAAAACAAAUCAAAACUGGAAAGGGAAACAUAUAAGCAGCUAGAAUCUUCUGGCGUCCCCCAGAAGCAUCAGAACUUCUAGAAGAUGAGGUUUGAUCUUCCUGCAAGAACCACCUCACUGGCUUCAUCAUCAGGACCAGCAGAACAGUCUGAGCUCUUCCAGAGGAUUUCUAGGCUGCAGUUUCAUAACGGAGACGAGACAAGGAGGAAAAAUGACAGAGCAGGAAGUUAAAGGAGGAUCCUUUCUCUGAGCACUUUAUGAGCAAAUCAGGGAGCAGAUGAGGGGUCAAAGGUGUCACCUGUAGAGGAAGUGGUUCUUCUGCCGCUCGAAUGCCAACGCCUCAUUUUACACACACACACGUGCGCACACAUGUGUUGCAUGUCUCAGCUGGGAGCCAUUACAGGUGCUAUCCACACAUGCGCACGCCGAGCGGCCACCUCUGACCCCGUCCUGUGUCCUUCCCCAUCAUCAUCAUCAUCAUCAGAGCUCACUCCACCGCAUUCACAAUCAUCAUCAGAGCUCCGGUUGGAGGAUGAGUUCAUACGCCGUAGCAUCUCUGAACACGCACUCUUCAAAGGAGAGUCUGUGCUUCUAUCUGACCAGCAGCUGACAGUCAUUUAUGGGUUCAAACCUAAUGAUGUUUUUAGCUAGAAGACUGUUUCUGGUGCAUCAUUUUUGUGGUUUAGGAAGAACUUUUAGGUUUUUUGGUUCCAAAAUGUUGUAUUAUUUGCAAAACUCUGCCUCCUUUAAGCGCAAAUGGAGUCAGAAACUUGAGUUUUAGAAUAGAAUAAAAUAGAUCUUCAUUUAUCAUUUUCACAAGGCCAAUAAAAUUAAAAGUGUUUCCUCAAACCUCAAACAACCCCUAAUAAAAACGUACAACUAAAAAGAAUAAAUAAUUCAUACAAAUACAUAAAAGGGGCAUUAUCCAAUAAAUUCAAGAAAUUAAGAUUAAUUUCUUGCUAAAUAAAAGGGCAUUUGUUGUGUUAAGAAAACCAGGAUACCCAAUUAAAGAGUUAAAAUGGUUAAAACCAGAAAAUAUAAUAAUAAAAAAACAUCUAUUGUUGCACAAUUUAAGCAGUCUAACAGAAGAGGUCCAGAAGGAAGGAAACAGAUCAAACAGGAAAUGUUUUUAAUUAUGUUCAUAUCUAGAUAUACACCAUCUACAGGAUUUCCUUCAAUGAACAGCCUAAUUCUGAGUAGGUAGGCUAACUUUAGAUUUAUAGAAAUGGUCGAAUCCUCCACAUCACAUGAAAGCGUUCACAGAAGAAUUUAAGCUUUAAACUGUGAGAAAAUACCAUUGUGUGAGGCCUUAUUUUCAUUAAAAAAUCAAUACAGGACUAGAAAUGAUACAUUUCUUGCAAAGACAUUUUUAGAUAUGGAUAAAUUAUUCUGGAAUGAUGAUCUGGAUUUUAGAGUACAAAUAAUGUGUAUCCAUACUUGACAUUUAUUCAAACUCUAUUACAAAGAAAACAAUAUAUAUAAUAUGUAGCAAGCUUAAUUUUCUUGUCUUUUUUCACUUCUAUUUGCUUUUUUGAAGCACCCACAGGACGGGAUUAGUGCUUAGAUGCAAUGAACCCAUUCACAGUGUGCAAGAAAAGGCUAAAAAUAAAAAAAAGCGAGGAUAUCAGAAGAAAAUAAGAGGAGAAAAGCGCGGACAUUGUUUUGAAUGAUGCUAUCAGAAGCAUUAAAGCAGCAGAAUAUAAAGCAGCAUAAAAUUAACAAUCAAACCCAGAUGUUAAAUAUUCAUAUUUAUGUCAAAUCAUGUCCUUAAGUGAAUUAGGAUCACUAAAAGCUUUGGAAACCAGUAAAUAUUCAUUUCUUUAACUUUCAGUGUUUUAGCUUCUUUUGUUCCUCCAGUGAAGAGGAAGAAUUCUAAAGAUCUGAAGCAUGCUCAAGGCCACUUUUGGCCUCUUUCGUCUGAACGUAAAGUCAGGACGACCUUGUCAAUUUUGUCGUCUGAAACCACGUCGAUUUUCAUUUUUUUCCCCUCGUCUUUCCAGUUAUGAUGCAGUAGAUAACUGAAGGCGUUUAAGGUCGGGACUCAAAAAAAUGAGCGAGUUGGAACUUUCUCCAUCAGGAAUCAAAAAUUAAAAUUGUUUUUCUGAAAGUAUCUCAGGUAUUUAAACGGAAAAAUGAACAAUCCUGUAAAGAUUAUUUUGUUAUUAAGGUGAAAUGUUCACUUUAUGUUCAUAUUUUCACAUUUAUUUGGCAUAUUUUUAUGUUCUUUUACCAUUUUCAUGCACCUUAGUUAUAAAACGGAGUGUAUUUCAUGUGGGAAGGUUUCACGCGGCGAGGAAGUCUUUUUUUUUUCCCUUCUCUCCUCCGCUCGUCUUCCUGCUGCCUCUCAGCUUCCCAUUUGAAAUAUUCAAUUACCGUCCAUGAAGGGUCAGGUCAAAGACAGGAAGCCGAGAUGAUUGGUUCUGCUCAGAUAUCGAUGGGCAUGUGUGACCAAUCAGUGCGGCUCAGGGCUUUCCCCAGUCUCCAUCUGCUGCAUGAACGUGCGUGUGCACGUGCACGCCUGUGUCCAAUUGUUCCAGACCAAAGGUGUCCCCUCAGUUUCCACUCACCUCUUGACCACUGCGCUCUGUCAGACGUGUUAAUGCUGCCUUUAAUCAGUUUUACUGUUUGCUGUCGUGCACGUGCGCGGGUGCACGGAGGCAUGUGGCCCCAUCCAUCUCUGCUCUUCACAAAACGCUUCAUUAGGAUUUGACCCACCGCUCUCAUCAGAAGCUUCUCCUCAACCGUUCAUAGACAUGCAGCUUCUUUUUUAAUGACUUUUAAGCAAAUAAUAGAAAAUAUUUUAAUUUAGUUUUUUUUGUAAAAUAAGAUCAAUCACUUCUUGGUCUCAUUUAGUCAAAUUUAUUUAAAUGUGCUUUACAAUAUUAAACUCGUGUUUUUUAUCCAGUUAUUUAGAUUUAUUGCCUCACAAAUGUGUUUUAAUCGAAUAAAUUGGAUUUGAAAGCAUUUUAUACCAAAAUUCACUAGAGAUGCUUACUCACCUGUUAUACUGUGUUAUAACUAUCAGAUUAGAGGAAACGUCGCUACGCUAGAACUCUUAUUUUUGGUCACUUUGUGAUUAAAAAUGUCAUAAAACGAAGCUUAUUUAUAAGAAAAGAGAAAAAGAAGAAAUUCACAGCUGAAAAACAAACCAAUUCCAAAUAAAGAUGACAAAAUCAAAUUAAAAAAAGCG